This is a long non-coding RNA of Austrofundulus limnaeus, 2193 nucleotides long. RefSeq lists it as uncharacterized. The transcript has 2 exons. The record is from RefSeq and is a predicted model, not a curated record. NCBI's taxonomy places the organism in Eukaryota, Metazoa, Chordata, Actinopteri, Cyprinodontiformes, Rivulidae.
ACUGUAAAAAUUGUAGAGAACAGUUUAUUAAAUUUAGACUUAUAAGAAGUCAUAUUCUAACGCACUCCAUCGCUUGAAGCGCUUAUUAUAAUACCAACCCACAAAGGAUUGAUCACGGCAUCAAAACAUAAAUAAAUCAAAUGAACAUAUGUACAUUUAAACAUGGUCAGAAAAACUGGAUUUGUGCAGAAAUCCCACUCCAUGUCUACCCAGAGGCAUGAGAUACUGAAAGGAAGUGUCUUUUGAUGGGAACUACCCUCUGGGAAAGUCUACUAGAAGCAGAAAAAAAGCCUGUUGUGUAAUCUCUUUCUUGAUUUGAUUAGUAAAAGGAAUAUCCGUAGAAUUUCUAAUACAUAUGAAAACAUUGCUGUAUUCUGUAAUAACGGUAAAAAUUGGUGUCGUUAACGGUUUUUAUUUUCCAUCCACCAGCAUGUGUUUGUUGCAUAAUUCACUCUGGGAUUGAUGCUUUGAGAGGAGCAGGACAAGAAAUGUUUCCCAAUAAGUCAAGUUCAUUUGUUAAGAAAUAUUUAACCUGAAUACAAUUAAAAGGAGAGUCUGGUCAUUUUUGAAGGGAUGCUCUGUCAAACAGUUAUCAAGUGUUGAUCUUAUGAGCCACACAGAACAGAGUAUGAAGAAAAUGGCUAGGCUAACCAAACAAGGGCCCAUUUUUUAUUGUUACUCAGCCUUAUWAAACAACUCUCUCAGAAAUAUCACACUGGUGUGAAAAAACGCAACAAGCUGGUUCCAGUUUAWGUUUUAUGUCCCGCCCCCACCAUGUAAACAAAAGGAACAUUGCCUUUGCUGAAACAAAACACCUCACAUGUGGACAAUUGUUUGUAUAGCUUGUAUAUAAAACCUCUAGACUUUCACCUGACACAGUAUAUUUAACCGAACGUGUGUGUUACUCUGCAAAUGUCAGUCUGCUGAACUAAUCAGUCUACCUGAUUAGCAUGUCUGGUUGAUAGAYUAUAUUUAGACCAGAGUUGCCCAAUCCUGGUCCUCAUCGGCCACUACCCUCCAUGUUUUAGUUGUCCAGCAUGGUGUUGAUUUCUACAGGAGACUGUCAAUCACUCGUUCCUUUAGAGCAGGGAUACAUUUAAACAGUGCAGAAUAGUGGUCUUUGAGGAGGACCAGGAUUGGGCACCACUAAUUUAGGCCUAGGACCAGAAACUGGACGUUGAAGCCAAACUCCUUCGCAAGCUGGUGCCAGUUCAGGUUUUAUGUCCCACCCCCUCCAUGUAAACAAAUGGAACGUUUCCCUUGCUAAAACCAAACACCUCAGGUGUUCACUCUUGAUGGUUUGCGKAGUACCUUGCUGUUUUAUUUAUUUAAUAGGUUUAGCUGAAAUUACAUAAUUCAUCCUUAAUAAAAGGUCUUUUAACACUACGAUUGUGAGCAGGGGAGUGGGUGGGACUUAAUCCCCAACAUCUACAGUGCACCGACUCUGGUCCCAAAAAUACAACACGGCAGCUUACAUAAACCGUGUCCUGCUGGCUCCAAUAUUCAACAUCCUGAGAUGGUAGAGACAUCUGGUCURAUAAUGUCAUAUAAUGUCUAUGGUCUGGUCAGUCCAAAGGUUUACUCAGCUCCUGUUAGACUGAUACAUUCAUCAACCUGACAUUCACAAAGUAACAUGGAUGUUGUUUGGUUGGUGUAGGGGUACCAUUAGCUAAUGUAGCGUUCCUUCACACCUAACGUUGCUUUUGAACAUGAGUUGUUUUAAAAGAAAAGAAAAAAUAAUGUUAAAGAGUCCCCUGGUUUGACUAGCUAAUAGCCUUGCCUGGAGGAAGACUUCUUCCCAGUUCUUCAUACUCUGCGCUCCAUGACUCAUGUCAUCACUCGUAAGGUACAAYUCUCCAAAAGUCACCAUGCCGUCCAUUUAAAGAUUAAAUAUUAACUUUACAAAACAGUAUCAUACGCCAAAGAAAACUUAAAUAAAAGUAGCUUCAUACAAUUCUUAAAGAAAAUUAUUUUCAGAUUUACAGCAGACACUUUCACACCAUGAUGAGGAUUACUCAAGACCUCCAGUUUCCGUUUUUACCUUGGUGGGAGUACAGUUUGCUUAAAUAUGCAAGGUGAGAACUGAUAAUUUUACAAAGAUGACUCAUUCUCUGUGGGCUGAGCGAGUGGGAGGAACAAACAUCAAUUUGACUUCCUGCGUCGGACACAGUGAAGACUAAGGUUACAUAAAAA